AUUCACUAGUGAUUAGAGUUUGAUCCUGGCUCAGAGCGAACGCUGGCGGCAGGCUUAACACAUGCAAGUCGAGCGGGCGUAGCAAUACGUCAGCGGCAGACGGGUGAGUAACGCGUGGGAACGUACCUUUUGGUUCGGAACAACACAGGGAAACUUGUGCUAAUACCGGAUAAGCCCUUACGGGGAAAGAUUUAUCGCCGAAAGAUCGGCCCGCGUCUGAUUAGCUAGUUGGUGAGGUAACGGCUCACCAAGGCGACGAUCAGUAGCUGUCUGAGAGGAUGAUCAGCCACAUUGGGACUGAGACACGGCCCAAACUCCUACGGGAGGCAGCAGUGGGGAAUAUUGGACAAUGGGGGCAACCCUGAUCCAGCCAUGCCGCGUGAGUGAUGAAGGCCCUAGGGUUGUAAAGCUCUUUUGUGCGGGAAGAUAAUGACGGUACCGCAAGAAUAAGCCCCGGCUAACUUCGUGCCAGCAGCCGCGGUAAUACGAAGGGGGCUAGCGUUGCUCGGAAUCACUGGGCGUAAAGGGUGCGUAGGCGGGUCUUUAAGUCAGGGGUGAAAUCCUGGAGCUCAACUCCAGAACUGCCUUUGAUACUGAAGAUCUUGAGUCCGGGAGAGGUGAGUGGAACUGCGAGUGUAGAGGUGAAAUUCGUAGAUAUUCGCAAGAACACCAGUGGCGAAGGCGGCUCACUGGCCCGGUACUGACGCUGAGGCACGAAAGCGUGGGGAGCAAACAGGAUUAGAUACCCCGGUAGUCCACGCCGUAAACGAUGAAUGCCAGCCGUUAGUGGGUUUACUCACUAGUGGCGCAGCUAACGCUUUAAGCAUUCCGCCUGGGGAGUACGGUCGCAAGAUUAAAACUCAAA
RNAcentral lists this ribosomal RNA (865 nucleotides) under uncultured bacterium. RNAcentral describes it as "bacterial SSU rRNA". It matches the Rfam family "Bacterial small subunit ribosomal RNA", at positions 1 to 905 of the family's 1533-position model. The record is from RNAcentral.